Molecule: unclassified non-coding RNA, 424 nt
Filed under: Argostemma bifolium
Lineage: Eukaryota; Viridiplantae; Streptophyta; Magnoliopsida; Gentianales; Rubiaceae
Description: partial external transcribed spacer
Source: RNAcentral
UUCAGGAUCAACCAGGUAGCAUCCCUCGCGGACACCGGGCCACACGAAGCUUGCGCCCGUGUGACACCGAUAGUCGUUCGAAUGUAUUCUUCGACGAUUGUCGCGGGCAGAUAGGAGUCGAGGACCCCGUGCCCCCAGCGUAUUCCGUAUCCCGAAGCCCGAACGAGGAGUCAUGUGCCGCGACGACAAAGCCAAGGGCUUGAAGACGAGGAGCACGAAUCUCGUUUCGAGGUUCACCAGAGGUCGCGCCGUUAAACCGGCCGCCCUUAGCGAACGAGGGAAUAUUGCCAAUCGAAUUCCAUGAUGUGGUACGCAACACAGGAAACCGAGCGAACGGCCAAGGCGAGGCUUCGCGCUUGGACCAACCAUUGAAGAGGAUAGCACGGCUAGACGUCGCUGCCCGAAGCAGGGAUCCAACCAACCC